GGCCAGCAUCAGUUUUGAUGGUGAGAUAAUCGCAGUUGAAUGUGGCUCUUCGGAGUGUUAUAGCUUCUGUUGAUAUCACUAUCGGGACUGAGGUCUGCGGUUUAUCCNAGGANGCUGGCGUAAU
Molecule: ribosomal RNA, 124 nt
Filed under: Wenyingozyma methanosorbosa
Lineage: Eukaryota; Fungi; Ascomycota; Pichiomycetes; Pichiales; Pichiaceae
Description: [Candida] methanosorbosa partial 26S rRNA
Source: RNAcentral